Molecule: ribosomal RNA, 455 nt
Filed under: uncultured bacterium
Lineage: Bacteria
Description: bacterial SSU rRNA
Rfam family: Bacterial small subunit ribosomal RNA
Source: RNAcentral
UACGGAAGGCAGCAGUGGGGAAUAUUGCACAAUGGGCGCAAGCCUGAUGCAGCCAUGCCGCGUGUAUGAAGAAGGCCUUCGGGUUGUAAAGUACUUUCAGUCGUGAGGAAGGUGUUAAGGUUAAUAACCUUAGCAAUUGACGUUAGCGACAGAAGAAGCACCGGCUAACUCCGCGCCAGCAGCCGCGGUAAUACGGAGGGUGCGAGCGUUAAUCGGAAUUACUGGGCGUAAAGGGCACGCAGGCGGUUAAUUAAGUUGGAUGUGAAAUCCCCGGGCUUAACCUGGGAAUGGCAUUCAAGACUGGUUAGCUAGAGUCUUGUAGAGGGGGUAGAAUUCCAUGUGUAGCGGUGAAAUGCGUAGAGAUGUGGAGGAAUACCGGGUGGCGAAGGCGGCCCCUGGGACAAAGACUGACGCUCAUGUGCGAAAGCGUGGGGAGCAAACAGGGAUUAGAUACC